This 459-nucleotide ribosomal RNA is filed under the name uncultured bacterium. RNAcentral's name for it is "bacterial SSU rRNA". It matches the Rfam family "Bacterial small subunit ribosomal RNA", at positions 340 to 789 of the family's 1533-position model. The record is from RNAcentral.
UACGGGAGGCAGCAGUGGGGAAUAUUGCACAAUGGGCGAAAGCCUGAUGCAGCUAUGCCGCGUGUAUGAGGAAGGCCUUAGGGUUGUAAAGUACUUUCAUCGGGGAGGAAAAAACAAAACUAAUAAUUUUAUUUCUUGACGUUACCCGAAAAAGAAGCACCGGCUAACUCCGUGCCAGCAGCCGCGGUAAUACGGAGGGUGCUAGCGUUAAUCAGAAUUACUGGGCGUAAAGAGCACGUAGGUGGUUUUUUUAAAGUCAGAUGUGAAUCCCUGGGCUUAACCUAGGAACUGCAUUUUGAAACUGAAAUACUAGAGUAUCGUAGAGGGAGGUAGAAUUCUAGGUGUAGCGGUGAAAUGCGUAGAUAUCUGGAGGAAUACCUGUGGCGAAAGCGGCCUCCUAAACGAAUACUGACACUGAGGUGCGAAAGCGUGGGGAGCAAACAGGGAUUAGAUACCCGU